UUCUAGUAGCUUAGCCAAAGCAUUGUUCUUGUAAACCAAAGCCGGGUAACACCCCUAGAACA
RNAcentral lists this transfer RNA (62 nucleotides) under Imantodes cenchoa (blunthead tree snake). RNAcentral describes it as "tRNA-Thr". The record is from RNAcentral. Lineage: Eukaryota; Metazoa; Chordata; Lepidosauria; Squamata; Dipsadidae.